This 465-nucleotide ribosomal RNA is filed under the name uncultured bacterium. Its description in RNAcentral is "partial 16S ribosomal RNA". It matches the Rfam family "Bacterial small subunit ribosomal RNA", at positions 338 to 795 of the family's 1533-position model. The record is from RNAcentral.
CCUACGGGAGGCAGCAGUAGGGAAUCUUCGUCAAUGGGCGCAAGCCUGAACGAGCGACGCCGCGUGAGUGAAGAAGGCCUUCGGGUCGUAAAGCUCUGUUGCGGGGGAAAAAAGGCAGCAUCAGGAACUGGGUGCUGACUGAUGGUGCCCCGCCAGAAAGUCACGGCUAACUACGUGCCAGCAGCCGCGGUAAUACGUAGGUGGCGAGCGUUAUCCGGAAUGAUUGGGCGUAAAGGGUGCGCAGGCGGUCCUUCAAGUCUGGAGUGAAACGCAUGGGCUCAACUCAUGCAUGGCAUUGGAAACUGGAGGACUGGAGAGCAGGAGAGGGCAGUGGAAUUCCAUGUGUAGCGGUUAAAUGCGUAGAUAUAUGGAGGAACACCAGUGGCGAAGGCGGCUCCCUGGCCUGUUGCUGACGCUGAGGCACGAAAGCGUGGGGAGCAAAUAGGAUUAGAUACCCGGGUAGUC